GACGUAGGGCGCGAGCGUUGUCCGGAUUUAUUGGGCGUAAAGAGCUCGUAGGCGGCUUGUCGCGUCGACUGUGAAAACCCGCGGCUCAACUGUGGGCUUGCAGUCGAUACGGGCAGGCUGGAGUUCGGUAGGGGAGACUGGAAUUCCUGGUGUAGCGGUGAAAUGCGUAGAUAUCGAGAGGAACACCUGCGGCGAAGGCGGGUUGCUGGGCUGACACUGACGCUGAUGCGCGAAAGCCAGGGGAGCGAACGGG
This 253-nucleotide ribosomal RNA is filed under the name uncultured bacterium. RNAcentral's name for it is "partial 16S ribosomal RNA". It matches the Rfam family "Bacterial small subunit ribosomal RNA", at positions 524 to 776 of the family's 1533-position model. The record is from RNAcentral.